This 946-nucleotide ribosomal RNA is filed under the name uncultured eubacterium WCHA1-01. RNAcentral's name for it is "bacterial SSU rRNA". It matches the Rfam family "Bacterial small subunit ribosomal RNA", at positions 524 to 1482 of the family's 1533-position model. Lineage: Bacteria; Pseudomonadati; Bacteroidota. The record is from RNAcentral.
UACGGAGGAUGCGAGCGUUAUCCGGAUUUAUUGGGUUUAAAGGGUGCGUAGGCGGAUCAAUAAGUCAGUGGUGAAAUUCUGCAGCUUAACUGUAGACUUGCCAUUGAUACUGUUGGUCUUGAGUAUGGUCAAGGCAGGCGGAAUGUGUAAUGUAGCGGUGAAAUGCUUAGAUAUUACACAGAACACCGAUUGCGAAGGCAGCUUGCUGGGCCAAUACUGACGCUGAUGCACGAAAGCGUGGGGAUCGAACAGGAUUAGAUACCCUGGUAGUCCACGCCGUAAACGAUGAUCACUCGCUGUUAGCGAUAUACAGUUAGCGGCUAAGCAAAAGCAUUAAGUGAUCCACCUGGGGAGUACGGCCGCAAGGCUGAAACUCAAAGGAAUUGACGGGGGCCCGCACAAGCGGAGGAACAUGUGGUUUAAUUCGAUGAUACGCGAGGAACCUUACCUGGGCUUAAAUGUAGAGUGCAUGAGGUAGAAAUACUUCUUUUCUUAGGAACUCUCUGCAAGGUGCUGCAUGGUUGUCGUCAGCUCGUGCCGUGAGGUGUCGGGUUAAGUCCCAUAACGAGCGCAACCCUUAUCGUUAGUUGCCAGCGGGUAAUGCCGGGGACUCUAGCGAAACUGCCGGUGUAAACCGAGAGGAAGGUGGGGAUGACGUCAAAUCAGCACGGCCCUUAUGUCCAGGGCUACACACGUGUUACAAUGGCCGGUACAGAGGGCAGCUACCUGGAGACAGGAUGCGAAUCUCGAAAGCCGGUCUCAGUUCGGAUCGGAGUCUGCAACUCGACUCCGUGAAGCUGGAUUCGCUAGUAAUCGCGCAUCAGCCAUGGCGCGGUGAAUACGUUCCCGGGCCUUGUACACACCGCCCGUCAAGCCAUGGAAGUUGGGGGUACCUGAAGUCCGUAACCGUAAGGAGCGGCCUAAGGUAAAACCAGUGACUGGGGCU